Molecule: long non-coding RNA, 221 nt
Filed under: Homo sapiens (human)
Lineage: Eukaryota; Metazoa; Chordata; Mammalia; Primates; Hominidae
Description: non-protein coding FAM242A:13
Source: RNAcentral
GGUAAAUUCUCCUUUGUGUUCUCUCUUUCAUGAGCUGGGCAGAUGUGCCUGAGACAGGUUUGACCAGGCAACUGAAAAGAUAUCCCUAAGAGAAGACAAAGCAAAGGUAUGAAAGGAACACACGUCCCUGACUGACUAGGAGGAACAGAGCUGCCUGCUGUCUGGAACCGCUUCCUCCCAGACUAAGGUUUCCCAGAGGAAGAGAGAGAAUUUGGACAAAU